Hydra vulgaris (swiftwater hydra) is the source of this 299-nucleotide long non-coding RNA. RefSeq lists it as uncharacterized. The record is from RefSeq and is a predicted model, not a curated record. NCBI's taxonomy places the organism in Eukaryota, Metazoa, Cnidaria, Hydrozoa, Anthoathecata, Hydridae.
GAGUUAUUAUGGCGGAAAAAAAAGGAACCUUCAGGUUUCUUUUGUAGAAAACGCAAAUUAGAUGUGGAGACAGAAGACAAAAAUCAAGCAAAAACAUUGAGUAAAUUUUUCUCUAGAUUAGAAAAACAAUAUGUAAACAAUAAUCAGCAAUUUCAGGAGCAGAAGAUGUCAGAAGAAAAUCCCCAGUCUCAAGUUUUAAAAGACAUUCCUAUAGACGCAGUUAAAUCUUUUUCUCUAAGAACACUUACAUUACCAAUCAAGUACGAGUAUGUCAAGUUCACCAUUUUCAUUUAAGGUUU